This 374-nucleotide ribosomal RNA is filed under the name uncultured prokaryote. RNAcentral describes it as "bacterial SSU rRNA". It matches the Rfam family "Bacterial small subunit ribosomal RNA", at positions 524 to 896 of the family's 1533-position model. The record is from RNAcentral.
UACGGGGGAUGCAAGCGUUAUCCGGAAUGAUUGGGCGUAAAGAGUCCGUAGGUAGUCAUCCAAGUCUGCUGUUAAAGAGCGAGGCUUAACCUCGUAAAGGCAGUGGAAACUGGAAGACUAGAGUGUAGUAGGGGCAGAGGGAAUUCCUGGUGUAGCGGUGAAAUGCGUAGAGAUCAGGAAGAACACCGGUGGCGAAGGCGCUCUGCUGGGCUAUAACUGACACUGAGGGACGAAAGCUAGGGGAGCGAAUGGGAUUAGAUACCCCAGUAGUCCUAGCGGUAAACGAUGGAAACUAGGUGUGGCCUGUAUCGACCCGGGCCGUGCCGAAGCAAACGCGUUAAGUUUCCCGCCUGGGGAGUACGCACGCAAGUGUG